UCAUCUUGUUUGUUGUAUUAAUCCCAUAUUUUCCCAUUUCCGUGAUUACAGGCAUCAGUACCAGGACGUUUCAUUCUGGAACACUACAGAAACAGCCUCCCACACAAUAAAGCACGGUGACAGGGUGAAGAGCUCUUCCUUUGGCCCACACGAGGAGGAAAGAGCUGAUUAGCAGUGCUAAAGGAACACAGGACUGGUCCAGCCUUUCACAUCCAAGUAUAACAAGGAGCCUGCCAUCACACCGAGAACGCUGCGACUAGACUGAGAGGAGGAAAAGAAAACCCUGUGCCUGUUGACAUUACUCAUUUCAACAAAGACCCUGAGAAAUUAAUUACAGAACUGCAUGUUUGCUGCUCAACUGAGUUAUAACACAAACACUUCAAAAGACCGUGACUUAGCAUGAAGUACCGUCUCUAAUACCAUCACCC
This is a long non-coding RNA of Strigops habroptila (Kakapo), 428 nucleotides long. RefSeq lists it as uncharacterized. Lineage: Eukaryota; Metazoa; Chordata; Aves; Psittaciformes; Psittacidae. The record is from RefSeq and is a predicted model, not a curated record. The transcript is spliced from 3 exons.